AUCGCUUCUCGGCCUUUUGGCUAAGAUCAAGUGUAGAAAAAAAAUUACUAAAAUAAAUGUGUGUUUUUUUAACUGCAGUACUUACUCUGUUUUUUGUUUUUUGCAAAAAUUAUGCCUGAGGCUAAUACAC
Small nuclear RNA from Heterocephalus glaber (naked mole-rat), 130 nucleotides. Its record names the gene U2. It matches the Rfam family "U2 spliceosomal RNA". From Rfam's summary of the family: U2 is a small nuclear RNA (snRNA) component of the spliceosome (involved in pre-mRNA splicing). Complementary binding between U2 snRNA (in an area lying towards the 5' end but 3' to hairpin I) and the branchpoint sequence (BPS) of the intron results the bulging out of an unpaired adenosine, on the BPS, which initiates a nucleophilic attack at the intronic 5' splice site, thus starting the first of two transesterification reactions that mediate splicing. The record is from Ensembl. Lineage: Eukaryota; Metazoa; Chordata; Mammalia; Rodentia; Bathyergidae.